Molecule: long non-coding RNA, 1091 nt
Organism: Cyprinus carpio (common carp)
Lineage: Eukaryota; Metazoa; Chordata; Actinopteri; Cypriniformes; Cyprinidae
Source: Ensembl
UCAAAUUAAUUGGCUAACAUAAAAAUUAAUUUAAAAUAUACAAAAUGGUAAGCUUUUUUAGAAUAGUUUGCAAGAGCAUAAAUAUAAACACAAGUCUAUAAAAGUGGACUGUUGAGUAGUUUAUUGUCUCUGACAACCUAAAAACAUAAAAGCUUAAAUUAAUUGUAAACAAUGCUUAUUUGCCAUUUAGGAGACUGUUGACAAGCAAGGUCUGGUGUGGAUGUUGAAGGAAGCACUUAAUAAGCUGAAGGACACAGCAGUCAGCUAUACCAACAAAGCAGCUCUGUCUGACGACUCACCUGUGGUUAACAGGCAGGUAAAAGAGGCAGAUAGUGAGGCGGGAGUCAGUACAGAAGCUGCAGAAGCAGUAAGAUCCACCAUGGAACGUGUUCUGGCUGCAUGGGAGUCCUACAGAGACUGCCUGUAUCUAUUACAGGUCUGGCUGGGGCAGGAGAAACAAUCAGAGGCUCAAGAGGUACUAUUAAGUAUUUGUCAUUAAAACACAUGCUACAAAGUAUACAGUGACCCAAAAAGUGUUUGAACACCUAAGUAUGAAUGUCAUUUAGUUAUCUUUGUUGAGAUGUUUGGUAAUUUCAAGUCAUGAGGUGAGGGCACGAUGUUUGUAUGUGGUUGCUUUUUUUAGAAGUUAAUUUGUCAGUUGUCUUGUGAUCUCUUUCAUAAUACAGCACAAGCAUUUUUCCUCCAGCCUGAAUGAGUGGAGAUCACGUCAAGCCCAGCUGAACGAGGCGGGAAACUUUCUCAUUGAGAUGAGUGAGGCCUCCACCAGCCACUCUCUGACCGAAGAGCUCCGCAAACUGAACAUGCAGUGGGCUGACUUCAUAAAAAGGACCAAGUUUGUGAGUUUGUAGAGACAGAACACUAGUUUUCAGCAGGGUUCAAAAUUAACACUUACCACCAAUUGCAUUAUAUAUUAUUUGAGUAUGAGAACAAAAUAUGUUUGUAUUGGCAACAGAAAACAUGAUGUAGGUGUUUCUCACAAAAUAUUCAAGGAAAAAGCUAAAUAUAUCCCAUUGUUAAAGACCGAAAUAAUGUAAAAUAAAGUUUCAUAACUGAUAAGAAAUAUUUAUGGC